Lemur catta (Ring-tailed lemur) is the source of this 1075-nucleotide long non-coding RNA. RefSeq lists it as uncharacterized. The record is from RefSeq and is a predicted model, not a curated record. The transcript is spliced from 4 exons. NCBI's taxonomy places the organism in Eukaryota, Metazoa, Chordata, Mammalia, Primates, Lemuridae.
CCUUCCCUCUGUGACAGCCGGAAGCUGAAACACACCAGGCCGCCAGGGCGGCUCAGGGCAGCUCAGGGCAGCCGGCUCUUCCUUCUUAGCUCGGCAUCUCCAGGCCACAUGGCCAGGGCUCAAGGCCAAACCCACGGAUGGGUCUAUUUUCUCCCUGGGUCGAGCCACAGAAGUCCCUGCCAGGAACUUUUCCGCAGGCUCCACAAAACCUGGCUCCAGCCCUGCAAGCUAGCCCUGUGAGGAGGUGAGGGGAGGUCCAGAUGUUUCCAGAGUGAUGCUCCUUGUGAUGUUCCCAGGCAGACAUACUUGGAGCAGCUGCGUCUUGGGCUCAUCUUGGGAGUUUCAUGUUUGCAGUCUGCUGAGAGCCCAGCACGGGCCUACAGGGCUCCAGGCUGGGUGGGGGGACAGUGACCCGGGCAGGCGGAGUGCAGCCUGCAGCCACCACAGCUGUGCCGAACGUGAUGCUGAACACGACGGGGAAUGAGCCAUUCGGGCUGACACUAUCCUCCUUUAAACCUCAUCCAAUGAGGUGACCUGGAUGGAGGAGGCCACGUGACCCAUACUGGACCCACCUGAAGGAGACACCAACCUGGGUUGUGUUGUGAGAGACCAAGAAAGACUGAAUUGCCCAUGCUGGCUCCUGCAUGUCCUUGCUCCAACACCUGUGUCCCCUCUUUCCCCUGAUCUUGGCCCCUAACUGUUCCUCUUCACCCCUCUUGAUAAAGUCAAAAUUGCCCAAACCAUCACUGCUAAUCCACAAAAUCAAUCCCUCCCCAUUCUGAAAACUCUCUUGACCAACUAUUGCUGACUCUGGCUGAACUUCAGCUGACCUCCUCUUGCUAAAGUCCUAUGAAACAUUCAGCCCUUCUUCCCCAGGUUAGAACUCCCCUUUGGAGCCUUGCCUGGCUUUUUAAAAAAAGGCUGACACUAAUGGUGUCCCGGUUGAUUUUUUUCCAGAAUGUUAAGCCAUCAAGAUUUCAGGCUUUAUUUGUUAUCACACCAUAGCCUAGGCUACACUGACUAAUAUAUUCACUAAAUUUAUAAACAACAUUGGAACAUUUUAUUGAAUUUAAGG